RNAcentral lists this long non-coding RNA (498 nucleotides) under Pan troglodytes (chimpanzee). Its description in RNAcentral is "lincRNA". Lineage: Eukaryota; Metazoa; Chordata; Mammalia; Primates; Hominidae. The record is from RNAcentral.
CUUUGUUCUUUUUCCUACUCCGGAUCAAGAGCCUGGAUUUCCAGCUGAAAUACAACACCGUGCAUUCUCCAAUGUAUAGCCUAGCUUUGGGUCAAAAAUCUAGGGCCUGCUGCAAGAAUUACUGUGCACUCAAGUUCUCUGCACACUGAGCACUAACUAAGGUUCAUUGGAAAGGAGACUCUUGUGAGGCCUUGAAGCACAUCCAUUCACACCUAAUAAUUGUACAGAUAUGAAAAGUAACAUCAGAGAAGUAAAGAUUUUUCUAGGAGGCCAUUUAGGUUUUGCUCUGUGCUUUAUUCUAUCACAUUAGGCUGCCUUAUUCUCUGUUAUCUGCAUAUCUAUGGUAGUAUUAAAAGUAAGCCAUUUUCAGUUUGUGUUAACAAGAUGGAUGUCUGAAAACUAAAUACAACUGGAAAAUUCAAUCCAAGUUACUGAAGUUUGACUGAGAUAUAUUGAUUCUUAAAAAACAAGAUAAUAAACUCUAAAUAUCCAAUGAAA